Molecule: ribosomal RNA, 442 nt
Filed under: uncultured bacterium
Lineage: Bacteria
Description: bacterial SSU rRNA
Rfam family: Bacterial small subunit ribosomal RNA
Source: RNAcentral
UGAGGAAUAUUGGUCAAUGGGCGCGAGCCUGAACCAGCCAAGUCGCGUGAGGGAUGACGGCCCUACGGGUUGUAAACCUCUUUUGUCGGGGAGCAAAUUCCGUUACGUGUAACGGAGUCGAGAGUACCCGAAGAAAAAGCAUCGGCUAACUCCGUGCCAGCAGCCGCGGUAAUACGGAGGAUGCGAGCGUUAUCCGGAUUUAUUGGGUUUAAAGGGUGCGUAGGCGGACUGUCAAGUCAGCGGUAAAAAUACGGGGCUGCAACCAUCCGCCCGCCCGUUCGUAAACAUGACGGUCUUGAGUGGGCGAGAAGUAUGCGGAAUGCGUGGUGUAGCGGUGAAAAUGCAUAGAUAUCACGCAGAACUCCGAUUGCGAAGGCAGCAUACCGGCGCUCAACUGACGCUCAUGCACGAAAAGCGUGGGUAUCGAACAGGAUUAGAUACC